CAGAGGGUGCGAGCGUUAAUCGGAAUUACUGGGCGUAAAGCGCGCGUAGGCGGCUUUGCAAGUCGGGUGUGAAAUCCCCAGGCUUAACCUGGGAACUGCAUUCGAGACUGCAUUGCUAGAGUAUGGGAGAGGGAAGUGGAAUUUCCGGUGUAGCGGUGAAAUGCGUAGAUAUCGGAAGGAACAUCAGUGGCGAAAGCGACUUCCUGGACCAAUACUGACGCUCAUGUGCGAAAGCGUGGGGAGCAAACAGGAUUAGAUACCCUGGUAGUCCACGCCAUAAACGAUGACAACUGGAUGUCGGGAGGGUCUGCCUCUCGGUGUCGUAGCUAACGCGUUAAGUUGUCCGCCUGGGGAGUACGGCCGCAAAGUUG
This 371-nucleotide ribosomal RNA is filed under the name uncultured organism. RNAcentral describes it as "bacterial SSU rRNA". It matches the Rfam family "Bacterial small subunit ribosomal RNA", at positions 526 to 896 of the family's 1533-position model. The record is from RNAcentral.